UAAUUGAAGAGUUUGAUCAUGGCUCAGAUUGAACGCUGGCGGCAGGCCUAACACAUGCAAGUCGAGCGGCAGCGGGAAGUAGCUUGCUACUUUGCCGGCGAGCGGCGGACGGGUGAGUAAUGUCUGGGAAACUGCCUGAUGGAGGGGGAUAACUACUGGAAACGGUAGCUAAUACCGCAUGACCUCGAAAGAGCAAAGUGGGGGAUCUUCGGACCUCACGCCAUCGGAUGUGCCCAGAUGGGAUUAGCUAGUAGGUGAGGUAAUGGCUCACCUAGGCGACGAUCCCUAGCUGGUCUGAGAGGAUGACCAGCCACACUGGAACUGAGACACGGUCCAGACUCCUACGGGAGGCAGCAGUGGGGAAUAUUGCACAAUGGGCGCAAGCCUGAUGCAGCCAUGCCGCGUGUGUGAAGAAGGCCUUAGGGUUGUAAAGCACUUUCAGCGAGGAGGAAGGCAUCAUACUUAAUACGUGUGGUGAUUGACGUUACUCGCAGAAGAAGCACCGGCUAACUCCGUGCCAGCAGCCGCGGUAAUACGGAGGGUGCAAGCGUUAAUCGGAAUUACUGGGCGUAAAGCGCACGCAGGCGGUUUGUUAAGUCAGA
The sequence is a ribosomal RNA, 602 nucleotides long. It matches the Rfam family "Bacterial small subunit ribosomal RNA", at positions 1 to 592 of the family's 1533-position model.